This 567-nucleotide ribosomal RNA is filed under the name uncultured Bacillus sp. RNAcentral's name for it is "bacterial SSU rRNA". It matches the Rfam family "Bacterial small subunit ribosomal RNA", at positions 31 to 578 of the family's 1533-position model. Lineage: Bacteria; Bacillati; Bacillota; Bacilli; Caryophanales; Bacillaceae. The record is from RNAcentral.
GAACGCUGGCGGCGUGCCUAAUACAUGCAAGUCGAGCGAAUGGAUUGAGAGCUUGCUCUUAUGAAGUUAGCGGCGGACGGGUGAGUAACACGUGGGUAACCUGCCCAUAAGACUGGGAUAACUCCGGGAAACCGGGGCUAAUACCGGAUAAUAUUUUGAACUGCAUGGUUCGAAAUUGAAAGGCGGCUUCGGCUGUCACUUAUGGAUGGACCCGCGUCGCAUUAGCUAGUUGGUGAGGUAACGGCUCACCAAGGCAACGAUGCGUAGCCGACCUGAGAGGGUGAUCGGCCACACUGGGACUGAGACACGGCCCAGACUCCUACGGGAGGCAGCAGUAGGGAAUCUUCCGCAAUGGACGAAAGUCUGACGGAGCAACGCCGCGUGAGUGAUGAAGGCUUUCGGGUCGUAAAACUCUGUUGUUAGGGAGGAACAAGUGCUAGUUGAAUAAGCUGGCACCUUGACGGUACCUAACCAGAAAGCCACGGCUAACUACGUGCCAGCAGCCGCGGUAAUACGUAGGUGGCAAGCGUUAUCCGGAAUUAUUGGGCGUAAAGCGCGCGCAGGUGG